RNAcentral lists this ribosomal RNA (407 nucleotides) under uncultured bacterium. Its description in RNAcentral is "partial 16S ribosomal RNA". It matches the Rfam family "Bacterial small subunit ribosomal RNA", at positions 30 to 526 of the family's 1533-position model. The record is from RNAcentral.
AUUGAACGCUGGCGGCAGGCCUAACACAUGCAAGUCGAGCGGAGCGGCGGACGGGUGAGUAAUUCCUAGGAAUCUGCCUGGUAGUGGGGGAUAACGUCCGGAAAGGGGCGCUAAUACCACAUACUAUCAGAUAAGCCUAGGUCGGAGUAGCUAGUUGGUGUGGUAAAGGCCUACCAAGGCGACGAUCCGUAACUGGUCUGAGAGGAUGAUCAGUAAAACUGGAACUGAGACACGGUCAAGACUCCUAGGGGAGGACGCAGUGGGGAAUAUUGGAAAAUGGGCGAAAGCCUGAUCCAGCCAUGCCGCGUGUGUGAAGAAGGUCUUCGGAUUGUAAAGCACUUUAAGUUGGGAGGCGUUACCAGCAGAAUAAGCACCGGCUAACUUCGUGCCAGCCGCCGCGGUAAUAC